Long non-coding RNA from Hyla sarda, 676 nucleotides. RefSeq lists it as uncharacterized. The transcript is spliced from 3 exons. NCBI's taxonomy places the organism in Eukaryota, Metazoa, Chordata, Amphibia, Anura, Hylidae. The record is from RefSeq and is a predicted model, not a curated record.
CCCGGGCAGGCCGGGGGACUGAGUCAUAGUGCUGUACCCCGGAUGGUGCCGCACAGCCCCGGCCCUGAGCUCCACAGACACACCAGGAUCCCUCCUCCUCGCCCGGGCUCCCCUCUACGUGCCAGUCCGGGAGCCGUGCAGAUGGCAGGGGGCAGGCACGGGGAGAGUUUGGCAGCAGGAAGAGCUUUGCUUUCUUCUCGUGUCUAUGAUGAUGAUUUCCGGCUGCAGAUAGGACAUGUAUGACAGUCCCGGGCACUGCUCGCUGUCAUCUCCGGGUGCCGCGCUGCCUCCUCGUUCACACACAACUAGACCAGGAAACAAGAAUAGAGAAAAAACCCAUUAACCACCCACCUCCCCUCCUCCCUCACUGCCUCUUCCCCUCUACAGCUCCUCCUGGGAGGGGGCAUGUCCUUCUCUUGACUCCUCCACCUCCCUCACUCUACUGACUCACUGGUCUUGGUAGCCUGGCAGCUCUGCUCUGUAACCCUUUCCUCUCUGGUUUUAUGCUGUACACACACACACAAUGAUUAUUGAAGAUUGCCUUGUCUCUACCAUCAAAGACAAUAUUGCAAGGCGCACUAUCUACGCUGGAUCGUCCAAGUUUUCAGUACUACGUUCCAUUGCAAAGGUUGGAGGUGUGAUCCAUGCAUCUUGGAUUUGAGCAAUUACUGGUCAG